Molecule: ribosomal RNA, 269 nt
Filed under: uncultured archaeon
Lineage: Archaea
Description: partial 16S ribosomal RNA
Rfam family: Archaeal small subunit ribosomal RNA
Source: RNAcentral
AGCUCUCCGAGUGGUAGGGGUGAUUAUUGGGCUUAAAGCGUCCGUAGCCGGCCUGGCAAGUCUUCCGUUAAAUCCAGCAACCUAAUUGUUGGGCUGCGGGGGAUACUGUUAGGCUUGGGGGCGGGAGAGGCCGACGGUAUUCUCGGGGUAGGGGUGAAAUCUUAUAAUCCCGAGAGGACCACCAGUGGCGAAGGCUGUCGGCUAGCACGCGCCUGACGGUGAGGGACGAAAGCUGGGGGAGCGAACCGGAUUAGAUACCCGAGUAGUCC